UACGUAGGGUGCAAGCGUUAACCGGAAUUACUGGGCGUAAAGCGUGCGCAGGCGGUUUUGUAAGUCAGGUGUGAAAUCCCCGGGCUUAACCUGGGAACUGCGUUUGAAACUACAAGGCUAGAGUGUGGCAGAGGGGGGUGGAAUUCCACGUGUAGCAGUGAAAUGCGUAGAGAUGUGGAGGAACACCGAUGGCGAAGGCAGCCCCCUGGGUUAACACUGACGCUCAGGCACGAAAGCGUGGGGAGCAAACAGG
Molecule: ribosomal RNA, 253 nt
Filed under: uncultured bacterium
Lineage: Bacteria
Description: partial 16S ribosomal RNA
Rfam family: Bacterial small subunit ribosomal RNA
Source: RNAcentral